GCAGGAAGAAGAGCAGAGGAAGUUUAAAUGAAGGUGACGUGGAGGGAGUCGUUGAGAGUUUAAAAGAGUUGGGCGAACCUUCUGAACCUUUCAGAGGCUUUGCAGUUACGGAUGAGAUUCAAGACUGAAGAUCAGCUUAUAUAGAGAAUUCAAUUCCUUUAUUCAUUUUAUGCUUUGAUGUUGUAAGUUCUUAGACGAUAUGAGUCUAGAGCUCUCGAUCGCCAUGAGAUCGAUGGAUUGAACUUGUAUUCGUUAUGAGAGUACUUGUUUAGUUCAUACCUCAGAGUGUAAACGUUUCUGGAGAUUUAUAAUACAAGAGUUCGAGUUCGUUGAGUUACGAGUAUCAAGACUCUAUCAUUGGUGCGGUGAAAAGUUCGGAUACGGCGGUGACGAUGGCGACGAUACCUCCGACGUUGCGAGCGGGUGAAGAAGAGGAUUUUGACGAUGUAGAGGCGGAGUGGAAAGCGCAGGUUUACGAGCUGGCGCAGAGCGUGACUCGAUUGACGAAGGAACAUACGGUUACGAAUUCAACGGUGGAUUCACUUCAAACGACGAUGAAGGAGCUCAAUUCUUCGGUUCAAGCGAUGAUGAAAUCGAUUGGGAAGAUGCCGUUCCGAGAGAGUCCUCCACCGUCGGAAUCUUUACGACAACCGUCUCAGGUAUAUCCUUCUUUAUCGGAACGAGACGGAAGUUUCCCGCUAGGUUAUCGAUCUGAGGGAUUGAAUUUAGCGAGUCGUGAAUCUAUGUUAAAAAAAGUGGAGAUGCCUUGUUGUGAUGGUUCUGGUGUUUCUGAGUGGAUUGGAGAUAUUGAGUAUUUUUAUGCUCUUGGGAGAUACAGUGAUGAGGCAAAGAUGGAUUUAGUUCCAUUGUGCUUACAAGGAGCAUUAAAGAAGUGGUAUGGUUGGGUGAGACGUCGAGGGGGUUUUCGGAGUUGGAAUGAUUUUAAACAGAGAUUGUUGAUCAGGUUUUCAGAAUCAAUUGACGAUGAACCAGAGACAAGGUUAUUUGCUUUGAAGCAGACUGGAUCAAUAACGGAGUAUGUAUCUGCGUUUGAAACAUUGUCAGCUCAAGUUCCGGGAUUAUCUGAUCAUUUGCUUGAACGAAUCUUCUAUAAUGGUUUGAGCACUGAGAUGAAAGAAGUUAUAAGGAUAAAGGAUCCUCAAGGGUUACAAAAUUACAUCUCAGCGGUGUUGCGGAUGGAGACGAGUAUGUUUUGCAAAGUGGUUAGCAAUGCGUCUUCUUCAGCAAACAAUACUCAACGACGUCAAUAUUCAAAUGAGAAGCAGACAACAAUGGCGUCGAAAUGGCAAUCUAAUGAUAAGCACAAAGGGGAGACCUUGCCGCUUAAGGACAAUUCGAGUCAGGGUCAAGCUUCUCAAAGACCACGCCAGAAACAUUCCGAUGCCGAGUUGGAUGCGAUGAGGAGGGCAAAGAUUUGUUUCAAAUGUAAAGCUCCAUGGUCUCGUGCUCAUGCUGACGUCUGUCCUAACAAAGAAUUGCGUAUCUUAUCUUUACUAAAUGGUUGGGAAGUUGAAGUUUUAGAUCAAGAAGAAGAGAUACUUCUUUGUGACGACAUUAAACAAGGACAAGAGUUGAUGACUUUAUCAUACAAUUCUUUUCUUGGGAUUUCUUCUCCAAAGACAACUAAGAUGCAAGGGAGAAUUAAUCAGAAGGAGGUAAUUGUCAUGCUCGAUAGUGGAGCAUCCCACAACUUCAUUUCACCAUCAGUUGUGAAGAGGCUACAUUUGAAAGUUUCUGCUGAUUGUGGCCUAGAUGUGUUGUUAGGGAAUGGAGUAACUGUCAACGCAUUGGGAGUAUGCCGCGCAGUUACUUUUGUUCUACACGAUACUGACUUCACAUCAGACUUUAUCUCCUUAGAACUGGGAAGUGUUGAUGUCAUUUUGGGUGUUCAGUGGCUGGAAACCUUGGGUAGAUGUGAAGUUGAUUGGAAGCAGCAGGAACUCACUUUCAUCUACCGAGGGGAGAGAAUUACUUUGUUGGGAGAUCAGGAGUUACACAACAGUAAAUUCUCUCUCAAGUCAUUGGCUCCUAAUCGCUCUAGUGGAUUACCUGGAAGGGAAGUGCAGUUUUCUGCUACAGCAAUGACAUCCUUAGUACCAGAUAUAAUUGAAGAACUCCCAGCGGUUUUGGAUCGUUAUGCAGACAUUUUUGCUUUACCGGUGGGCUUACCUCCCAUUCGUGGGCAGGAGCACGCAAUUACAUUGGUUCCAGGCGUGUCUGCAGUUUCGGUUCAACCAUACCGUUAUCCUCAUGCUCGAAAGGUAGAGAUGGAAAGGAUGGUCAAAGAAAUGUUGGAUUCAGGAAUUAUCAGACCAAGUAUCAGUCCAUUCUCUAGUCCUGUGCUCUUAGUCAAGAAAAAAGAUGGUGGUGUACGUUUUUGUGUUGACUACAGAGCAGUUAAUAGGGCUACCGUUCCAAACAAGUAUCCAAUACCUGUGAUUGAUCAGUUAUUAGAUGAAUUACAUGGCGCUUGUUUGUUUUCCAAGUUGGAUCUCAGAUCAGGUUACCAUCAAAUCCGCAUGAGGGAGGAAGAUAUAAACAAAACAGCUUUUCGUACUGUGGAAGGUCACUAUGAGUUCUUAGUCAUGCCUUUCGGCUUGACUAAUGCUCCUGCGACUUUUCAGGCAUUAAUGAAUAAGAUCUUCAAACCAUUCCUCCGGGACUUUGUGUUGGUUUUCUUUGAUGACAUCUUGGUGUAUAGUAAAUCAGUAAGCCUUCACCUUCAACACUUGGAGUUGGUUCUGCAAGUUCUUAGAGACCAAAAGCUAUUUGCGAAUCGGAAGAAAUGUUCAUUUGGUGUCUCUCAGGUGGAGUAUUUGGGGCAUAUUAUUUCUCAAGCUGGCGUAGGUACAGACAGUCAGAAGACAGCUGCGAUGAGUAACUGGCCAACACCGAAGUCUGUUAAGCAACUGCGUGGCUUUCUGGGGUUGACAGGGUAUUAUCGCAAAUUCGUGAAGGAUUAUGGGAUUAUAGCUCGAUCACUGACUUCGUUGCUGAAGAAAGAAAUGUUCUUGUGGUCUGAUGAAGCGCAAAGGGCUUUUGAGCGCCUGAAGCUUGCAAUGACUAACGCUCCUGUUCUUGCCUUACCUGAUUUUACUAAAGUGUUUGUAGUGGAGACUGAUGCUUCCGGGUUUGGUGUGGGGGCUGUUUUAAUGCAAGAUAAGCAACCAAUUGCUUAUUUUAGCCAUGCGUUAACGGAGAGAGAACAGAGUAAACCGGCGUAUGAGAGGGAACUUAUGGCAAUUGUCAUGGCAGUAAGGAAGUGGAAACAUUAUCUUUUGGGCAAGAAGUUUCAGGUUCAUACAGAUCAGCGAAGCAUUAAGUUUUUACUGGAACAGAAAGAAGUUAAUAUGGAAUAUCAUCGGUGGUUGACUCGUCUGUUGGGAUUUGAUUUUGAGAUUUUUUACAAGCCUGGGUGUGAGAAUAAAGCAGCAGAUGGUUUAUCAAGGUGUAUGUCGGUUUCUUCCUUAUUAUUGGCAUUAACUGUUCCUCGGAUCAUUCAGUGGGAGGAUUUGUAUCGUGAGAUUGCAGAGGAUGUGUCUAUUCAGAGUAUAAUUUCGCAGUUGACAUCGAAGAAGUUGGUUUCAAAGAAGUUGACGGUGAUUGAGGGGAGAUUAUGGUCGAAACAGAGGUUGGUGAUACCAAAGACAUCUCGGUUUAUUGAUUUGAUUCUUCAUGAGUGUCAUGAUGCUAAGAUUGGUGGGCAUUCGGGUGUGGUAAAGACACUAAAGCGUAUUCAGAAUUCUUUUACUUGGAAAGGAAUUAAGAAGCAAGUUCAGACUUAUGUUGCUGAGUGUGAGGUAUGUCAAACUCAUAAAUAUUCGACUCUUUCUCCUGCGGGGCUACUACAACCUUUGCCUGUACCAAACCGGAUUUGGGAAGAUAUCAACAUGGAUUUUAUCGAGGGAUUACCCACGUCUGGUGGAGUGAAUGUUAUCUUGGUGGUGGUCGAUCGUUUAAGUAAAGGAGCUCAUUUUAUUGGGUUAAAACAUCCUUUUACUUCUGCGGAUGUUGCACGGAAAUUUGUUGAAGAGAUUGUGCGUCUGCAUGGUUUUCCAAGCAGUAUUGUUUCGGAUAGAGAUCGUUUGUUUCUGAGUAACUUUUGGCGGGAUUGUUUUAAGCUGGCGGGGACGAGUCUAAAGUUCAGCACUGCCUUUCACCCGCAGACCGAUGGUCAAACAGAGGUUCUUAAUCGUUGUUUAGAGACUUACUUGCGUUGUUACGCCUCGACUCAUCCGAAGACAUGGUCUCAGUUUCUGUGUUGGGCAGAAUAUUGGUAUAAUACUUCGUUUCAUUCAUCUCUGAAGGCAACUCCUUUUAAAGUGAUGUACGGUCGCGAUCCGCCUGCAUUGGUGAUGUUUGAACAUGGCUCGACUAAGAAUUUUGAUUUGGAGGAGUCUUUAUUACAAAGGGAUGCGCUAUUGCAGUACUUGAAGGAUUGCCUAUUACGAGCUCAGGAGUUAAUGAAGCGUCAGGCCGAUAAGCAUCGACGUCAGGUGGAACUUGCCGUAGGGGAUAUGGUGUAUCUCAAGCUUCGGCCGUAUCGUCAGCAGUCGGUAUCUCGUCGUUUUUGUCAGAAGUUGGCAGCCAAAUUUUAUGGGCCCUACAAAAUACUUGAGAGGAUUGGCAAUGCUGCAUACAAACUGGAAUUGCCGGUGGGGUCUCGCAUCCACCCAGUGUUUCAUAUCUCACAGAUUAAAAAGGCUUUGGGGGAUCAUGUGGUCGUUUCUUCUUUACCUCCGGUUUGCUUGGGAGAGAAGUUUGAUGAAUUGUUUCCUUUGGAUGUUUUGGCUAAACGUUUUGAUGUGAAGGGUCGUUUGGAGUUAUUGGUGCAUUGGAAGGACAGACCUUCGACGGAUGAUUCUUGGAUGUCUUCAAGGGAGUUUGUAGCACGUUUUCCUUCUUACAAGCUUGAGGGCAAGCUUGGUUUCGAUGGGCGAGGUAUUGAUAGGUACCAUCAAGCUUACGUACGCAGGAAGAAGAGCAGAGGAAGUUUAAAUGAAGGUGACGUGGAGGGAGUCGUUGAGAGUUUAAAAGAGUUGGGCGAACCUUCUGAACCUUUCAGAGGCUUUGCAGUUACGGAUGAGAUUCAAGACUGAAGAUCAGCUUAUAUAGAGAAUUCAAUUCCUUUAUUCAUUUUAUGCUUUGAUGUUGUAAGUUCUUAGACGAUAUGAGUCUAGAGCUCUCGAUCGCCAUGAGAUCGAUGGAUUGAACUUGUAUUCGUUAUGAGAGUACUUGUUUAGUUCAUACCUCAGAGUGUAAACGUUUCUGGAGAUUUAUAAUACAAGAGUUCGAGUUCGUUGAGUUACGAGUAUCAAGACUCUAUCAAUAUCCAG
This 5357-nucleotide long non-coding RNA is filed under the name Brassica rapa (field mustard). RNAcentral's name for it is "long non-coding RNA (BRAP_LNC002195)". The record is from RNAcentral. Lineage: Eukaryota; Viridiplantae; Streptophyta; Magnoliopsida; Brassicales; Brassicaceae.